AACGGGUGGUAAUGCCGGAUGCUCCGACUCCUCGCAUGGGGUGUCGGGAAAGAUUUCAUCGGUAUGGGAUGGGGUCGCGUCCUAUCAGGUAGUCGGCGGGGUAACGGCCCACCGAGCCUACGACGGGUAGCCGGCCUGAGAGGGCGACCGGCCACAUUGGGACUGAGAUACGGCCCAGACUCCUACGGGAGGCAGCAGUGGGGAAUAUUGCACAAUGGGCGCAAGCCUGAUGCAGCGACGCCGCGUGCGGGAUGACGGCCUUCGGGUUGUAAACCGCUUUUGAUCGGGAGCAAGCCUUCGGGUGAGUGUACCUUUCGAAUAAGCACCGGCUAACUACGUGCCAGCAGCCGCGGUAAUACGUAGGGUGCAAGCGUUAUCCGGAAUUAUUGGGCGUAAAGGGCUCGUAGGCGGUUCGUCGCGUCCGGUGUGAAAGUCCAUCGCUUAACGGUGGAUCUGCGCCGGGUACGGGCGGGCUGGAGUGCGGUAGGGGAGACUGGAAUUCCCGGUGUAACGGUGGAAUGUGUAGAUAUCGGGAAGAACACCACC
RNAcentral lists this ribosomal RNA (546 nucleotides) under Bifidobacterium pseudocatenulatum. RNAcentral describes it as "bacterial SSU rRNA". It matches the Rfam family "Bacterial small subunit ribosomal RNA", at positions 155 to 713 of the family's 1533-position model. The record is from RNAcentral. Lineage: Bacteria; Bacillati; Actinomycetota; Actinomycetes; Bifidobacteriales; Bifidobacteriaceae.